This 164-nucleotide ribosomal RNA is filed under the name Tinospora capillipes. Its description in RNAcentral is "5.8S ribosomal RNA". It matches the Rfam family "5.8S ribosomal RNA". Rfam says of the family: 5.8S ribosomal RNA (5.8S rRNA) is a component of the large subunit of the eukaryotic ribosome. It is transcribed by RNA polymerase I as part of the 45S precursor that also contains 18S and 28S rRNA. Functionally, it is thought that 5.8S rRNA may be involved in ribosome translocation. The record is from RNAcentral. Lineage: Eukaryota; Viridiplantae; Streptophyta; Magnoliopsida; Ranunculales; Menispermaceae.
UGAACGACUCUCGGCAACGGAUAUCUCGGCUCUCGCAUCGAUGAAGAACGUAGCGAAAUGCGAUACUUGGUGUGAAUUGCAGAAUCCCGUGAACCAUCGAGUUUUUGAACGCAAGUUGCGCCCGAGGCCACCCGGUCGAGGGCACGUCUGCCUGGGCGUCACAC